Molecule: ribosomal RNA, 497 nt
Filed under: uncultured bacterium
Lineage: Bacteria
Description: partial 16S ribosomal RNA
Rfam family: Bacterial small subunit ribosomal RNA
Source: RNAcentral
GAUGAACGCUGGCGGCGUGCCUAAUACAUGCAAGUCGAGCGAACAGAUAAGGAGCUUGCUCCUUUGACGUUAGCGGCGGACGGGUGAGUAACACGUGGGUAACCUACCUAUAAGACUGGGAUAACUUCGGGAAACCGGAGCUAAUACCGGAUAACAUUUGGAACCGCUUGGUUCUAAAGUGAAAGAUGGUUUUGCUAUCACUUAUAGAUGGACCCGCGCCGUAUUAGCUAGUUGGUAAGGUAACGGCUUACCAAGGCAACGAUACGUAGCCGACCUGAGAGGGUGAGCGUCCACCCUGGAACGGAGACACGGUCCAAACUCCAACGGGAGGCAGCAUUAGGGAAUCUUCCGCAAUGGGCGUAGGCCUGACGGAGCAACGCCGCGUGAGUGAUGAAGGGUUUCGGCUCUUAAAACACUGUUAGUAGGGAAGAACAAACAUGUAAGUAACUGUGCACGUCUUGACGGUACCUAAUCAGAAAGCCACGGCUAACUACGUG